RNAcentral lists this ribosomal RNA (393 nucleotides) under uncultured bacterium. RNAcentral describes it as "bacterial SSU rRNA". It matches the Rfam family "Bacterial small subunit ribosomal RNA", at positions 30 to 425 of the family's 1533-position model. The record is from RNAcentral.
AUUGAACGCUGGCGGCAUGCCUUACACAUGCAAGUCGAACGGCAGCACGGGAGCAAUCCUGGUGGCGAGUGGCGAACGGGUGAGUAAUGUAUCGGAACGUACCUUUCAGUGGGGGAUAACGUAGCGAAAGUUACGCUAAUACCGCAUAUUCUGUGAGCAGGAAAGCAGGGGAUCGCAAGACCUUGCGCUGAUUGAGCGGCCGAUAUCAGAUUAGCUAGUUGGUGAGGUAAGGGCUCACCAAGGCGACGAUCUGUAGCGGGUCUGAGAGGAUGAUCCGCCACACUGGAACUGAGACACGGUCCAGACUCCUACGGGAGGCAGCAGUGGGGAAUUUUGGACAAUGGGCGCAAGCCUGAUCCAGCCAUGCCGCGUGAGUGAAGAAGGCCUCGGUUG